This is a long non-coding RNA of Sapajus apella (tufted capuchin), 125 nucleotides long. RefSeq lists it as uncharacterized. The record is from RefSeq and is a predicted model, not a curated record. The transcript is spliced from 3 exons. NCBI's taxonomy places the organism in Eukaryota, Metazoa, Chordata, Mammalia, Primates, Cebidae.
AAACCAAACACCAUAUGUUUUCACUCAUAAGUGGGAGUUGAACAAUGAGAACACAUGGACACAGGAAGGGGAACAUCGCACACCAGGGUCUGUCGGGCCGUGGGUAAGUGGAAGGGGAGGGACAG